RNAcentral lists this ribosomal RNA (468 nucleotides) under uncultured bacterium. RNAcentral's name for it is "partial 16S ribosomal RNA". It matches the Rfam family "Bacterial small subunit ribosomal RNA", at positions 28 to 507 of the family's 1533-position model. The record is from RNAcentral.
GACGAACGCUGGCGGCGUGCUUAACACAUGCAAGUCGAACGGAAAGGCCAUGCUGUUGUGGGGUGCUCGAGUGGCGACCGGGUGAGUACCACGUGACUAACCUGCCCUUGACUUUGGGCUAACUUCAGGAAACUGGGGCUAAUACCGGAUAGGCGCUCCUGCAGAAUGGUGGGGGUUGGAUAGAUUCGACGGUUGGGGCUCGACUCGCGGGUUAUCAGCUUGAUGGUGGGGUAGUGGCCGACCAAGGCUGUGACGAGUAGCCGGACUGAGAGGGUGGCCGGACUCAUAGUGAGUGUAAUACGGCCCAGACUCCUACGGGAGGCAACAGUAAGAAAUAAUGUACAACAGGCCUGCGCCUGAUGCAGCAACACCGCGUGCGGGAUGACGGACUUCGGGUUGUAAACCUCUUUCGCCAAAAACGAAGCGUGAGUGACGGUAAUGGGAAAAGAAGCAACGGCUAAAUACGUG